GGAAAACCAAGCAGAAAGGAACCAACUUCUGUAGAGAGAAACAACUCUUUGUCCUGGCUUCAAAUUGUUUCCUUCGUUAUCUUCUAGAUUUCUUCUCAUCUUUGCUACGUUUGCAGCAUUGCCUAUGACAAAGAUUGUAUCCAGGAACCUUCCAGCAAUGUCUGCUCUGUUGGGUGGAGCGUGGUCGUAAUGAGCGAACCUUGGCAAUGAAAAGUUUGUUCUGAACAAGACAAAAAAGAGGCUGUGUUGCAAAAGUGAACC
Mauremys reevesii (Reeves's turtle) is the source of this 261-nucleotide long non-coding RNA. RefSeq lists it as uncharacterized. The record is from RefSeq and is a predicted model, not a curated record. The transcript is spliced from 3 exons. Lineage: Eukaryota; Metazoa; Chordata; Testudines; Geoemydidae.